CCUGCUCUCAAGGUAAAGCAGGAGGUCCAGCCUCAGCCAGAGGAGGAGGAGACUGUGAUCUGUAUCAAAGAAGAGCCAGAGGAGGUGAUGGCCUCCCUGCUGGACUGCCAGGUGGAGCAGGGUUGUGCUCCGAAGUCACAGCCUCAGUUCUCGAUAGCAGAGCAGUUGAGACCUUCAGCACCUCAGAAAACUUGUGAACCCACUU
This is a long non-coding RNA of Nematolebias whitei (Rio pearlfish), 205 nucleotides long. RefSeq lists it as uncharacterized. The transcript has 3 exons. The record is from RefSeq and is a predicted model, not a curated record. NCBI's taxonomy places the organism in Eukaryota, Metazoa, Chordata, Actinopteri, Cyprinodontiformes, Rivulidae.